RNAcentral lists this ribosomal RNA (497 nucleotides) under Bacillota bacterium. RNAcentral's name for it is "bacterial SSU rRNA". It matches the Rfam family "Bacterial small subunit ribosomal RNA", at positions 1034 to 1533 of the family's 1533-position model. Lineage: Bacteria; Bacillati; Bacillota. The record is from RNAcentral.
ACAGGUGGUGCAUGGUUGUCGUCAGCUCGUGUCGUGAGAUGUUGGGUUAAGUCCCGCAACGAGCGCAACCCUUGUCGCUAGUUACCAUCAUUCAGUUGGGGACUCUAGCGAGACUGCCGAUGCAAGUCGGAGGAAGGUGGGGAUGACGUCAAAUCAGCAUGCCCUUUAUGUCCUGGGCAACACACGUGCUACAAUGGCCGAUACAAAGAGACGCAAGAUCGCGAGAUGGAGCAAAUCCCAUAAAAUCGGUCUCAGUUCAGAUUGGAGUCUGCAAUUCGACUCCAUGAAGGCGGAAUUACUAGUAAUCGCGAAUCAGCAUGUCGCGGUGAAUACGUUCCCGGGGUUUGUACACACCGCCCGUCAAACCAUGAGAGGUGGUAAUACCUGAAGCCGCUGGCCUAACCGUAAGGAGGGAGGCGUCUAGGGUAGGACUGCUGAUUGGGGUUAAGUCGUAACAAGGUAUCCCUACGAGAACGUGGGGAUGGAUCACCUCCUUU